Molecule: ribosomal RNA, 292 nt
Filed under: uncultured bacterium
Lineage: Bacteria
Description: partial 16S ribosomal RNA
Rfam family: Bacterial small subunit ribosomal RNA
Source: RNAcentral
GUGCCAGCCGCCGCGGUAAUACGGAGGGUCCAAGCGUUGUCCGGAAUCACUGGGCGUAAAGGGUGUGCAGGUGGGGCAGCAAGUCAGAGGUGAAAGCCCGCGGCUUAACCGCGGACGUGCCUUUGAAACUGCUGCUCUUGAGUCCCGGAGAGGUUGCCGGAAUUCGUGGUGUAGCGGUGAAAUGCGUAGAUAUCACGAGGAACACCAGAGGCGAAAGCGGGCAACUGGACGGGUACUGACACUGAGGCACGAAAGCGUGGGGAGCAAACAGGAUUAGAAACCCGAGUAGUCC